UCCAGACUCCUACGGGAGGCAGCAGUGGGGGAUAUUGCACAAUGGGGGGAACCCUGAUGCAGCGACGCCGCGUGGGUGAAGGAGUGCUUCGGCAUGUAAAGCCCUAUCGGCAGGGAAGAAGCAAGAUGGUACAUGACUAAGAAGCCCCGGCUAACUACGUGCCAGCAGCCGCGGUAAUACGUAGGGGGCGAGCGUUAUCCGGAUUCACUGGGUGUAAAGGGAGCGUAGACGGCCAUGCAAGCCAGGGGUGAAAGCCCGGGGCCCAACCCCGGGACUGCCCUUGGAACUGCAUGGCUGGAGUGCGGGAGGGGCAGGCGGAAUUCCCAGUGUAGCGGUGAAAUGCGUAGAUAUUAGGAGGAACACCAGUGGCGAAGGCGGCUUACUGGACUGUAACUGACGUUGAGGCUCGAAAGCGUGGGGAGCAAACAGGAUUAGAUACCCGAGUAGUC
This 449-nucleotide ribosomal RNA is filed under the name uncultured bacterium. RNAcentral's name for it is "bacterial SSU rRNA". It matches the Rfam family "Bacterial small subunit ribosomal RNA", at positions 330 to 795 of the family's 1533-position model. The record is from RNAcentral.